RNAcentral lists this ribosomal RNA (253 nucleotides) under uncultured bacterium. RNAcentral's name for it is "partial 16S ribosomal RNA". It matches the Rfam family "Bacterial small subunit ribosomal RNA", at positions 524 to 776 of the family's 1533-position model. The record is from RNAcentral.
UACGUAGGGCGCAAGCGUUGUCCGGAAUUAUUGGGCGUAAAGAGCUCGUAGGUGGCUUGUCACGUCAGGUGUGAAAGCUUGGGGCUUAACUCCAGGUCUGCAUUCGAUACGGGCUGGCUAGAGGUAGGUAGGGGAGAACGGAAUUCCUGGUGUAGCGGUGAAAUGCGCAGAUAUCAGGAGGAACACCGGUGGCGAAGGCGGUUCUCUGGGCCUUACCUGACGCUGAGGAGCGAAAGCGUGGGGAGCGAACAGG